GCCCGGAUGGUCUAGUGGUAUGAUUCGCCCUUAGGGAACUGAGCAUCUUCACGCCUUGCUGGCGCACUGGGUGUAUCUACUUUGGGCGAGGUCCCCGGUUCAAUCCCGGGUUCGGGCC
RNAcentral lists this transfer RNA (118 nucleotides) under Microbotryum lychnidis-dioicae p1A1 Lamole. Its description in RNAcentral is "tRNA-Pro for anticodon AGG". The record is from RNAcentral. Lineage: Eukaryota; Fungi; Basidiomycota; Microbotryomycetes; Microbotryales; Microbotryaceae.